AUACAUACCUGGCAAAGGAGACACCGUGAUCAAGAAGGCGGCUCACCCAGGGCGAGGCUCAGCCAUUGCACUCCGGCUGUGCUGACCCCUGCGAAUUUCCCAAAUGUGGAAAUCUCGAUUGCAUAAUUUCUGGUAGUGGGGACUGCGUUCGCCCUCCCCCUGA
RNAcentral lists this small nuclear RNA (163 nucleotides) under Salmo salar (Atlantic salmon). RNAcentral describes it as "U1 spliceosomal RNA". It matches the Rfam family "U1 spliceosomal RNA". Rfam says of the family: U1 is a small nuclear RNA (snRNA) component of the spliceosome (involved in pre-mRNA splicing). Its 5' end forms complementary base pairs with the 5' splice junction, thus defining the 5' donor site of an intron. The record is from Rfam by way of RNAcentral. Lineage: Eukaryota; Metazoa; Chordata; Actinopteri; Salmoniformes; Salmonidae.